GUAGGUGGCAAGCGUUGUCCGGAAUUAUUGGGCGUAAAGCGCGCGCAGGCGGUUCUUUAAGUCUGAUGUGAAAGCCCACGGCUCAACCGUGGAGGGUCAUUGGAAACUGGAGAACUUGAGUACAGAAGAGGAAAGCGGAAUUCCACGCGUAGCGGUGAAAUGCGUAGAGAUGUGGAGGAACACCAGUGGCGAAGGCGGCUUUCUGGUCUGUAACUGACGCUGAGGCGCGAAAGCGUGGGGAGCAAACAGGGAUUAGAUACCCUGGUAGUCCACGCCGUAAACGAUGAGUGCUAAGUGUUAGGGGGGUUUCCGCCCCCUUAGUGCUGCAGCUAACGCAUUAAGCACUCCGCCUGGGGAGUACGGCCGCAAGGCUG
Molecule: ribosomal RNA, 374 nt
Filed under: uncultured organism
Description: partial 16S ribosomal RNA
Rfam family: Bacterial small subunit ribosomal RNA
Source: RNAcentral